GAUGAAGAACGUAGCGAAAUGCGAUACUUGGUGUGAAUAGCAGAAUCCCGUGAACCAUCGAGUCUUUGAACGCAAGUUGCGCCCGAAGCCAUUAGGCCGAGGGCACGCCUGCCUGGGCGUCACACGUCGUUGCCCCCCCAUCUAAUCCUUCGGGAUUGCGGGGGGCGGAUGAUGGCCUCCCGUGCGCCUCGUCGCGCGGUUGGCAUAAAUGCCAAGUCCUCGGCGACGCACGCCACGACAAUCGGUGGUUGCGAAACCUCGGUUGCCCGUCGUGUGCGGUCGUCGCGCAUCGAGGGCUCGAAAAAAUUGCCGGGCUCCGGCUCGACUUUCAACGCGACCCCAGGUCAGGCGGGGUUACCCGCUGAAUUUAAGCAUAUCAAUAAGCGGAGGA
RNAcentral lists this unclassified non-coding RNA (391 nucleotides) under soil metagenome. Its description in RNAcentral is "partial contains 5.8S ribosomal RNA, internal transcribed spacer 2, and large subunit ribosomal RNA". The stretch from base 1 to 122 matches the Rfam family "5.8S ribosomal RNA", at positions 35 to 154 of the family's 154-position model. The record is from RNAcentral.